CAGUCGCCACGGUAAUACGAAGGGUGCAAGCGUUAAUCGGAAUUACUGGGCGUAAAGCGUGCGUAGGCGGUGAGUUAAGUCUGCUGCGAAAUCCCCGGGCUCAACCUGGGAAUGGCAGUGGAUACUGGCUCGCUAGAGUGUGUCAGAGGAUGGUGGAAUUCCCGGUGUAGCGGUGAAAUGCGUAGAGAUCGGGAGGAACAUCAGUGGCGAAGGCGGCCAUCUGGGACAACACUGACGUUGAGGCACGAAAGCGUGGGGAGCAAACAGGAUUAGAUACCCGCGUAGUCCCUGUCUCUUAUAC
Molecule: ribosomal RNA, 301 nt
Filed under: uncultured bacterium
Lineage: Bacteria
Description: partial 16S ribosomal RNA
Rfam family: Bacterial small subunit ribosomal RNA
Source: RNAcentral